UACGUAGGUGGCAAGCGUUGUCCGGAUUUAUUGGGUUUAAAGGGUGCGUAGGCGGCUUUGUAAGUCAGUGGUGAAAUACUCCAGCUCAACUGGAGAGGUGCCAUUGAUACUGCAGAGCUAGAGUACUGAUGAGGUAGGCGGAAUGGACGGUGUAGCGGUGAAAUGCUUAGAUAUCGUCCAGAACACCGAUAGCGAAGGCAGCUUACUAAAGAGUAACUGACGCUGAGGCACGAAAGUGUGGGGAUCAAACAGG
Molecule: ribosomal RNA, 253 nt
Filed under: uncultured bacterium
Lineage: Bacteria
Description: partial 16S ribosomal RNA
Rfam family: Bacterial small subunit ribosomal RNA
Source: RNAcentral